This is a non-coding RNA of Misgurnus anguillicaudatus (oriental weatherfish), 1127 nucleotides long. The record is from RefSeq and is a predicted model, not a curated record. Lineage: Eukaryota; Metazoa; Chordata; Actinopteri; Cypriniformes; Cobitidae.
ACUCUUAAGAAAAAAGGUUCUUCAAAGGUUCUGAAACGAUGGUAAAGGUUCUAUAUAGAACCAUAGCUUACUGAAGAACCAUUUUUUGCUGAAAUGGUUCUUUGUCUUGGCAAAAGGGUUCUUUAUUUCCCUCCUUUUUUGAUUUUAAAUUUAGUCAGUUAUUUUCAAGCUGCCUCCUGAUUAUUUUCACCUGUAAAAGCUCUGAAUCAUCAGUCCUGCUGAACUGCCUGCAGACUAACAUCCCAAACAGGUAAGAGAGGAAAAUAAUCAUCAUUUACUGUUAAAAACAUUUUGAAAAUUGAAGUUUUGUGUGUUCUUAUUGUAAUUUAUUUAUUUUAUAACAGGUAAACUUUAUACUGUAAGCUUCAUUCCCUUUAAAGCAGAGUUUUUGUAUGUGAGGUAAUCUUACUGGGAGUGAAGGCAGUGCGUAUGACAGCUUAAUAUGAGACACAUCCUGUAUUUAAAGGUCAACUUUAUACUGUAAGCUUCAUUCCAUUUAUAACAGGUAAGCUUCAUACUGUUUAAAUUAUAUAUUUAGGGGACUCUACUUUGACAAUGACUUAGGAUAAUGAUUUGUUAAAGUGUUAUAAAGCAUAUACAUGUAUAUUGUACAUUAAGUUUAUUAAACUAAUUAUCAGAAGUAUGUGGUACAACAUGUGUUUAGUUUUUUUUAUUGAUAUUUCAGAGUUUUCAUAUGUGAGGUAAUCUUACUGGGAGUGAAGGCAGUGCGUAUGACCGCUUGAUAUGAGAGACACAUCCUGUUUUUAAAGGUGAUGUAUGCAUGUUACUUUCAAUCCUGGCAUUAAAAUAAUAAUAUUUACUGUUUAAACAUUUUGUAAAUUGAGGUUUUGUGUGUUUUUGAUGUACUUUAUUUCUUUUAUAACAGGUCAACAUACUGUAAGCUUCAUUCCCUUUAAAGCAGGUAAUCUUCAUAUUGUUUUAAAUGAUAUAUUUCAGGGACUCUGCUUUAACAAUGACUUAGGAUAAUGAUUUGUUAUAGUGUUUGUUAUAAAGCAUAUACAUGUAUAUUUUACAUUAAGUUUAUUAAACUAAUUAUGAAAAGAAUGUGGUACAACAUGUGUUUAGUUUUUUUUAUUGAUAUUUCAGAGUUUUCGUAUGUGAGGUAA